UGCAAGUAAGAGAGAAGAAAGCUCUAGCCUGCAAGCCUCAUCUAAGUCAUCUCUCCAGCUCCUCUGUAUAAAGGCUAACCUCUUUUGCCUCUACUAUACGCAGCGAAAACCACCGCAAAAGCACCACCCAACACAGAAAAAGACAUUUAUAAACGAUUAAUCAAGAAAAAAGUGAAGCACUGAUGAUGAAUGACCAAAAGGUGCCGCCACCGGAGGUGGCUGUCCAGCUACCGGAGUCCAAGGUGGCCGCGACGGAGAACAGUGGCACAAUGAGUGGACCGCUGAUAAGGACGCCGAGGUCUUUUGGCCGGAAAGCUGAAGUCUUGCACGCGGCACUUAGGUUGUUGUGCAUGGUGACAUCUGUGGCAGCACUGUCGUUUAUGGUCACAGCCCAUCAGUCCAGCUCUGUCUCCAUCUAUGGAUUUAUGCUUCCUGUUUACUCAAAGUGGU
Molecule: unclassified non-coding RNA, 450 nt
Filed under: Hevea brasiliensis (rubber tree)
Lineage: Eukaryota; Viridiplantae; Streptophyta; Magnoliopsida; Malpighiales; Euphorbiaceae
Source: RNAcentral